Long non-coding RNA from Macrobrachium nipponense, 959 nucleotides. RefSeq lists it as uncharacterized. Lineage: Eukaryota; Metazoa; Arthropoda; Malacostraca; Decapoda; Palaemonidae. The transcript is spliced from 5 exons. The record is from RefSeq and is a predicted model, not a curated record.
AGCCUCUCUUAGAAGCGGAAGGGUUAUUUGCUUGUUGAAGUGAGUUAAUCUCGUCUUUCUUUUGGUUGUGUAAAUCGGCACUACAAGACAAUUUAAAGUAACGAUAUGGGUCAGGAAUUAGGAAGGUCUAGAAAGCUGAAUGGUGAAGGUUCGUCCCAACGCAUUGAAAUUGCAGACCUAGUCCUAGACGGACCAACAAGGCUUGCGUCUUGCUUCCUCGUCCAUCAUGCGCUGAAAGAUAUGUAAAAGAAUUGACUUCAAACUUCCAACAAAGUCACCCGGAUUAGGAAAAUUCGAUGACUGGCAUUUUCAAGACGAUGAUCUGUGUGCAAAAGUUAUUUUACACGAUGAUCAUACUUCAGGAGCUGCUCCAUUGGGGAAAAUAGAUUCACAAGAACAGAACCAACAACACCAAGAAAAAGGAAUUGUUGUGAAAGAACAUAAUAUUCAAACUUCAAGAAUAAGGUUGCUAUCAACAUUCGAGGAGAAUAGCAGGGAAUCACGAACAAGGGGAUUACAGUUUCCGGUUACACAACGCUAGGGAGGUUUUCGCAGUCUACUCAGCUUCUCCCAGUCUACUCAGCUUCUCCCAGUCUACUCUGCUUCUCCACUGCGCUAAAGUAAAUGAUCAUCAUCCAUCGCGCUGAACUUCAAGAUCAUCGUCUUAACAAUGCAUAUGGUUGUGAUUGGGGAGAGGGCAGAGAGACAGACGGCCACUUCGCGAUCGCAUGGGGGGGAAUCCCGAGGAUACAACCAUAUCAACCUAAGCCCGAAAGGAGGAGAGGAUGUAUUACGAUUUGUAGUGCAAAAUCCGAUCUCAUCAGUUUAGAAACUCUCCACUUUAAAUUUGAUUUUAUUUUUUAGCUUGCAUAAUGUAUUUUUCUUUAAAAAAAAGCAGGAGGCGGCAAAAUACUAUGUAUUUCCAACUGUUUCUAUGUAUACAUGUUGGGAGCAUUAAA